Molecule: ribosomal RNA, 483 nt
Filed under: uncultured soil bacterium
Lineage: Bacteria
Description: bacterial SSU rRNA
Rfam family: Bacterial small subunit ribosomal RNA
Source: RNAcentral
AGAUUGAACGCUGGCGGCAGGCCUAACACAUGCAAGUCGAGCGGUAGAGAGGUGCUUGCACCUCUUGAGAGCGGCGGACGGGUGAGUAAUGCCUAGGAAUCUGCCUAGUGGUGGGGGAUAACGUUCGGAAACGGACGCUAAUACCGCAUACGUCCUACGGGAGAAAGCGGGGGACCUUCGGGCCUCGCGCCAUUAGAUGAGCCUAGGUCGGAUUAGCUAGUUGGUGAGGUAAUGGCUCACCAAGGCGACGAUCCGUAACUGGUCUGAGAGGAUGAUCAGUCACACUGGAACUGAGACACGGUCCAGACUCCUACGGGAGGCAGCAGUGGGAAUUUUGGACAAUGGGGAACCCUGAUCCAGCCAUCCCGCGUGUGCGAUGAAGGCCUUCGGGUUGUAAGCACUUUGGCGUAGGAAGAACGGACGUCCCUAAGUACGGGCGUCGACGUGACGGUACCUGCAGAAUAACGCACCGACUAACUACGU